RNAcentral lists this ribosomal RNA (882 nucleotides) under Prymnesium parvum. Its description in RNAcentral is "partial Bacterial large subunit ribosomal RNA". It matches the Rfam family "Bacterial large subunit ribosomal RNA", at positions 453 to 1340 of the family's 2925-position model. The record is from RNAcentral. Lineage: Eukaryota; Haptophyta; Prymnesiales; Prymnesiaceae.
CCACUCUCCAAGCCUAAGUACUCCUAUGCGACCGAUAGUGAACCAGUACCGUGAGGGAAAGGUGAAAAGCACCCCGACGAGGGGAGUGAAAUAGACCCUGAAACCGAAUGCCUACAAUCAGUGGGAGCUCGAAAGAGUGACCGCGUACCUUUUGUAUAAUGGGUCAGCGACUUAAUCUAGCGAGCGAGCUUAAACCGAUAGGUGUAGGCGGAGCGAAAGCGAGUCUUAAUAGGGCGCUUUAGUCGCUGGGUAUAGACCCGAAACCGGGCGAUCUAUCCAUGGGCAGGUUGAAGGUUGGGUAACACUAACUGGAGGACCGAACCGACUACCGUUGAAAAGUUAGCGGAUGACCUGUGGAUCGGAGUGAAAGGCUAAUCAAGCCCGGAGAUAGCUGGUUCUCCUCGAAAGCUAUUUAGGUAGCGCCUCAUGUAUCACUGUAGGGGGUAGAGCACUGUUUCGGCUAGGGGGUCAUCCCGACUUACCAAACCGAUGCAAACUCCGAAUACCAAUGAGUACUAUCCGGGAGACAGACUGCGGGUGCUAACGUCCGUAGUCAAGAGGAAAACAAUCCAGACCGCCAGCUAAGGCCCCAAAAUUAUAGUUAAGUGGGAAACGAUGUGGGAAGGCAUAGACAGCUAGGAGGUUGGCUUAGAAGCAGCCACCCUUUAAAGAAAGCGUAAUAGCUCACUGAUCGAGUCGUCCUGCGCGGAAGAUGUAACGGGGCUAAGCAAUAUACCGAAGCUGCGGCAGCAUAGUUUACUAUGCUGGGUAGGGGAGCGUUGUGUAAGUGGAUGAAGGUGAGUUGUAAAGCUUGCUGGACAUAUCACAAGUGCGAAUGCUGACAUGAGUAACGACAAUGGGAGUGAAAAACUCCCACGCCGA